RNAcentral lists this small RNA (79 nucleotides) under Bigelowiella natans. RNAcentral's name for it is "partial Alphaproteobacteria transfer-messenger RNA". Lineage: Eukaryota; Cercozoa; Chlorarachniophyceae. The record is from RNAcentral.
AAGGAACCGCAGCAAAAGGGUCGCAUAAAAAAGCAAAAGAUAAUAUAAUUUUAAAUGUUCUCCCGGCUGCAUCACUACU